AAUAUAGAGACUAACUAAUGUAUUAUCCAAAAUACAAGGACCAUGUAGUUAAUUUAAUUAAAAUAGAGAGACUAAUUAAUAAUGUUCGCUCAAGAUAAUCUAAAAUGCAUAAGGAAGUUUAGAUUAAAUCGGAAAAACUAAAACCUAGUUGAAAUAGGAAAACUAAAAGUAAAUCCUAAUUAGAAUAGGUAAAUUAGAAAUAAGUCGUACUUUAAAUAGGAAACAACCUAAAACUAAUUAUACAAUUGUAUUUUAACAAAACAAGAAGUAAAAUUGGGUUUGGACUACUUGAGCAAAUUUCUCGUUGCUGGUCUAGCGGGAAACGCACUGCAUAACGCUCCACAUGAAAAAAGCUCAUCUGCGAGUUAGAGUUCUUCCAGACCAGUCUCCCUCACUUGGAAUAGAACUCGUCAUCAGACUUUAAAGUGUUGAAGAAUUGAGAAUGGAAUGCAGAAAACAAGCAACUCUAUCUUUCUUGAUGGUAGCAACAAGAUUGAAAGACGAUGAACUUCUCACUGUGCUUUUCAUAUUUAAGAGCAUCUGAACAAAUAAAAUCUGCAAAGACAAUAGGAAUUAAAGAGUUGGAAAAUCUUUAUUCUCCAUCAUAUCCGUGACAUGAUUUUCCUCAACUUCCAUUAAUUUUUCCAAGAGG
Molecule: unclassified non-coding RNA, 652 nt
Filed under: Hevea brasiliensis (rubber tree)
Lineage: Eukaryota; Viridiplantae; Streptophyta; Magnoliopsida; Malpighiales; Euphorbiaceae
Source: RNAcentral